UCCCUCCCUCCCUCUUUUCCUUCCUUUCUUUUGAAAAAGUAGUAUGGUAAAAGUAAUUCACCCUUGUUUUGUUUUUUUUUUUUAAGUCAUCUCUACACCUAACAUGGGGCUCAAACUCACAAUCCUGAGAUCAAGACGCACAUGUUCUACCAACUGAGCCAGCCAGGCACCCCGAAGGUUCUGUCUUGUCACGUGCGCUGCACGUGUGGUUUCUGACUCCCUGGGCUGCAAGAGCCACCAGGCUGCAUGGCUAGAGCCGGCGCUGUGACUUACUGUGACGGGCACCUGGAAGGGCUCACGGCGUGUUUGCGAAGGAAGAAAAGGGGAACAGGAAGGACGGAAGGAAAGGACAGGAGCCAGAGAAGACAGCCUAGAUGUAAGUCUGUGAACUGAGCCGUUUAUUCAUCAUCAGCCCAUAACUAUUUACUGAGCGCUCACUGUGUGGCAGCACUCAGUGAGUCUGGCCACGGGGAUGCUGAGAUUAAUAAGCUCAGCCUUUGUUCUCGCGAAGCGUGUUGUCUAGAGAGAGAGGUCAGUAUCUAAACCAGCAUAAUAAAACCAAUGGCUCCAGGCUGCU
This 577-nucleotide long non-coding RNA is filed under the name Zalophus californianus (California sea lion). Its description in RNAcentral is "lncRNA (ENSZCAG00015016967.1)". Lineage: Eukaryota; Metazoa; Chordata; Mammalia; Carnivora; Otariidae. The record is from RNAcentral.